GCCACACAUGUUAAGGACCCUCAGCCCAGGGAGGUGGCUUUAAUCUUGGUUCUCCAGUGUCAGGAAGAGAUCCUUCAGUCAUGGGGUAAGUAUUUUCUGAGCACUUAGUACGUGGCAGGCGCUGGACUAUAAUGGAGAAUAGUCCCUGCCCUCAAGGAGCUCCGAGAAACAAGACUCAUUGGACCAUCAGUCUGGAUUCACUGAGGCAGGAUUCUUUACAGCACUUCUGAUGCAAUUGUCACGGACUGGAGACCAGCCUCCAUACAGGACCUGCAGGCAUAUUUUGUUACGCCCUGCACAGCGAAAUACAAAUCCAAUAAAAGUAAAUGCGCAAGUCUGAGGGGAACAGCUUGAAGAUCUUAUAUACCACCCCACCACAGUGUUUCUAAAGGUUAGGCAAUGUCACUGAAAAUAGAGAAGAGGAAAGGUACAUCCAGAAGGUGGAAUAAUAACCCUCCAAAGACAUCCACAUUCUAAUCCCCGGGAUCUGUGAAGACGUUACCUGAUGGAGCGAAAGCGACUUUGCAGAUAGAACCUUUCUUGGCCGAGUUCGUAGUCAGAGGGAGAUGUGACUACAGAAGAAUGGUUGGACACGUGCAACACUGUGGGCUUUACAGAGGAAGGAAGGGGACAUGAGCCAAGGAACUCUGGCAGCCUCUAGAAGCUAAAAAAGGUAAUCAGGAAGUCUCCUAGGAUAAGGUUAUUAUAUUCAAGUCCUGCCAAAAAAUGUAAGAAAAGAAGCUCCUAUUUGAGUGGACCAAAAAGAACAAUUAUACCUCCUAAAAAUAAAAUGAACCUAAGCUAAGAAAAUGAAAAGGUUUCUAAAGAAGGUCAGUACUUCUUUUUUGGUCUCCUUUCAUCACUGUGUGAUUUACUUUAAUAGUACCCUGUCAAACUAGAUGACUCAGUGGCCUCAUCACAGCUUACAGAGCAUUUCAUCUGUGGUCAUUCAUCCUGCCUAUGAAGAAAUUGACAUGUAGUCACUACAGAGCAACACUGCUCACCAAUGGUUGUUCACCACCAUACCCUCCUGAUCCUUGCCUAAUCAAACAGAGAGAUGCUAUCCUGCUUUUACCUACACAGAAAAAGAAAGAAGAUAAAACAAUGUUAGGGGGUUGUGGCUCAUUGAUGGUCAGAUAUGAAAAGCUGCUUCAAAUGCUGUCCCAUCAGUUCCUAAAACUGCAACAUGAAAAUGCAUCAUCAUGACUACCCUUUACCUAUCUCCCAAGCGUGAAAUUGUUUUCCCCAGUAAAAGUUUAAGGAAAUGAA
RNAcentral lists this long non-coding RNA (1269 nucleotides) under Homo sapiens (human). Its description in RNAcentral is "HSALNT0298581". The record is from RNAcentral. Lineage: Eukaryota; Metazoa; Chordata; Mammalia; Primates; Hominidae.